CACACGACUCUCGGCAACGGAUAUCUCGGCUCUCGCAUCGAUGAAGAACGUAGCAAAAUGCGAUACCUGGUGUGAAUUGCAGAAUCCCGUGAACCAUCAAGUUUUUGAACGCAAGUUGCGCCCGAGGCCUUCUGGUUGAGGGCACGCCUGCCUGGGCGUCACGC
RNAcentral lists this ribosomal RNA (164 nucleotides) under Hordeum patagonicum subsp. setifolium. RNAcentral describes it as "5.8S ribosomal RNA". It matches the Rfam family "5.8S ribosomal RNA". Rfam says of the family: 5.8S ribosomal RNA (5.8S rRNA) is a component of the large subunit of the eukaryotic ribosome. The record is from RNAcentral. Lineage: Eukaryota; Viridiplantae; Streptophyta; Magnoliopsida; Poales; Poaceae.